AACUUUCAGCAAUGGAUCUCUUGGCUCUCGCAUCGAUGAAGAACGCAGCGAAAUGCGAUACGUAAUGUGAAUUGCAGAAUUCAGUGCAUCAUCGAAUCUUUGAACGCACAUUGCACUCUCUGGUAUUCCGGAGAGUAUGCUUGUUUGAGUAUCUGUAAACAUCUCAAAUCUCUCGGCUGUCGAGUUUGAGAGAAUUGGAAUUGAGCAAUCACAACUCCUUCGUCAGCAAGAGGAGGGUUGCUUGAGAUGCAGGUGCAUCUUGGUAUUCUUCUGAGCUAAAAGCUUAUUUAUUUAGUCCCGUCAUACGGAUUAUUAUUCUUGCUUCAGCUUACAUAAAGGUUGAAUGACUACCGAGGCUGAUUGCAGGUAAUCUCGUUCCGUCAAAAAGAACUUGUGAUCUCGAUCUCAAAUCAAGUAAGACUACCCGCUGAACUUAAGCAUAUCAAUAAGCGGAGGCU
RNAcentral lists this unclassified non-coding RNA (458 nucleotides) under uncultured Mortierella. RNAcentral's name for it is "sequence contains ITS2". The stretch from base 1 to 154 matches the Rfam family "5.8S ribosomal RNA". The record is from RNAcentral. Lineage: Eukaryota; Fungi; Mortierellomycota; Mortierellomycetes; Mortierellales; Mortierellaceae.